Molecule: long non-coding RNA, 419 nt
Organism: Herpailurus yagouaroundi (jaguarundi)
Lineage: Eukaryota; Metazoa; Chordata; Mammalia; Carnivora; Felidae
Exons: 3
Source: RefSeq, a predicted model, not a curated record
AUGAACAUUUUAGAUGAAUGUGUCCUUAGGCAAAUUGAUUAUUAUGCCAAUUGAUUUUAAGUAAAUUAGUUUUAAGCAAUUUGACAUUCUCCCCCUAAAGGAGCCUUCAAACCACUCUGAAAUUCUAGGAUUUCUGAUAUGCACUGCCCAACACAGCCUUUGUCAAGAAUGGCAGCUUUUGCUUGGUUCUAUCUCCAAAUAAACCCAAGAUUUCUAAUAUAAGGUUCUAGACUGAAAUGAAAGAGGACACCCACUAAAAGGAGCAAGUGAUGAACAAGAAAUUCUAGCCUGAAAAUAUAAAGCAAACUGACAAACAACUUCAGGGGAAGACCAGAGGAUGUUCUUUUCUCAGGAAUCUGCAGGAUGAAGAAGGUAUGCAACUUGCCCAAGGAACACCCUGGGUGACAGAGAGGAUUUGC